GGUCUACAAGUGCCCUUUUUUUUCCUCAAUUAGUACACCGUUGAGGCCGAUUCUCAAGUGCGUUCGUGAAAAAAAGCGUCCCGUCUAGCAACACUGACUCGCGGCCUGCAUCGUGCUCGUGUUUAUUGUGAUUGCAUCAGCUAAUCGCUAUUGGCCAAUCAUGGCUAAUCUUCAUGCGCCGUGAACGUUAAGCGCAGCAAACAAUUGACGCAAGCCGACGCGCUAGAAAAAUCGCGCGGGAUCGCAGAUCGCAGUGGCUGCCAGCCUGUCAGUGCAUGAUGGUGUGAUAUACGGUUCAUAAAAAAACCGAGAUAAAAAUGUCUUAUCAACGAUAUUUAUAUCCGGGUUCCACUCAAAAUGUUCCACGAACAACGGCAUAUCGGAAACGAAAACGAGAACAGGCCAGUAAAAGUGAAAUAAUUGAAAUAAAUGCAGGAUCUGCAAACUUAUUGGAUGACUUGAAUUAUGAUAUCGAGGAUGGCGGAUUAUACGAUCAACAAUUAUCUUUUGACGAAGGUGCAAUCACAGCUGCGGAAUUAAAUGCCAAUCGUGAUCGAAUGUGUGUGUGUACUACACCUGAUUUGGACGAAUUGAAUUAUAAUAUCGAGAGUGAUGGAUUGUGCCGAAUGAAGAAUUAUAUGAUAACAAUAUCGAGGAUGAUAGAUUGU
Molecule: non-coding RNA, 668 nt
Organism: Linepithema humile (Argentine ant)
Lineage: Eukaryota; Metazoa; Arthropoda; Insecta; Hymenoptera; Formicidae
Source: RefSeq, a predicted model, not a curated record